RNAcentral lists this ribosomal RNA (375 nucleotides) under uncultured organism. Its description in RNAcentral is "partial 16S ribosomal RNA". It matches the Rfam family "Bacterial small subunit ribosomal RNA", at positions 527 to 896 of the family's 1533-position model. The record is from RNAcentral.
GUAGGUGGCAAGCGUUGUCCGGGAAUUAUUGGGGCGUAAAGCGCGCGCAGGCGGUUCUUUAAGUCUGAUGUGAAAGCCCACGGGCUCAACCGUGGAGGGUCAUUGGAAACUGGAGAACUUGAGUACAGAAGAGGAAAGCGGAAUUCCACGUGUAGCGGUGAAAUGCGUAGAGAUGUGGAGGAACACCAGUGGCGAAGGCGGCUUUCUGGUCUGUAACUGACGCUGAGGCGCGAAAGCGUGGGGAGCAAACAGGAUUAGAUACCCUGGUAGUCCACGCCGUAAACGAUGAGUGCUAAGUGUUAGGGGGUUUCCGCCCCUUAGUGCUGCAGCUAACGCAUCAAGCACUCCGCCUGGGGAGUACGGCCGCAAAGGCUG